This 140-nucleotide ribosomal RNA is filed under the name uncultured eukaryote. RNAcentral describes it as "partial 18S ribosomal RNA". It matches the Rfam family "Eukaryotic small subunit ribosomal RNA", at positions 1299 to 1458 of the family's 1831-position model. The record is from RNAcentral.
UGGUGGAGUGAUUUGUCUGGUUAAUUCCGUCAACGAACGAGACCUUAACCUGCUAAAUGGCUACGCGUAGCUUCGGUUACGUGGGCAACUUCUUAGAGGGACGUUGCGUGUCUAACGCAAGGAAGUUUGAGGCAAUAACA